This 314-nucleotide ribosomal RNA is filed under the name uncultured eukaryote. RNAcentral's name for it is "partial 18S ribosomal RNA". It matches the Rfam family "Eukaryotic small subunit ribosomal RNA", at positions 1470 to 1796 of the family's 1831-position model. The record is from RNAcentral.
CCCUUAGAUGUUCUGGGCCGCACGCGCGCUACACUGACGAAUGCAACGAGCUUAUAACCUUGGCCGAAAGGUCUGGGUAAUCUCCAAAUUUCGUCGUGAUGGGGAUAGAUUAUUGCAAUUAUUAAUCUUCAACGAGGAAUUCCUAGUAAGCGCGAGUCAUCAGCUCGUGCUGAUUACGUCCCUGCCCUUUGUACACACCGCCCGUCGCUCCUACCGAUUGAAUGGUCCGGUGAAGCCUCCGGAUUGGCGCGCACCUCGGUGCCGCCGAGAAGUUGGCUAAACCUUACCAUUUAGAGGAAGGUGAANUCGUAACA